CUGAAACCAAGAGUCAGAUGCUCAACCAAAAGCCCCCCAGGCGCCCACGUCCUGGGUUUUAAAAGCCACUUUCACACUGACAUUUUGUGCAUGUGUGCCCUGGUCACGGACAGCGGAUAGGUUUCCCAUCACACGUAUGUCCAGUAGGAAGCCUGGUUUUCCAUCUCCGGGCUGGGUGUGUCAUCUGUUGAACUUGUCUAUGAGAAAUGAGAAAAUCCAACCCACUUCACAAAUGGUUGUCGGGAUGGAAUGAAACUAGGCAUGUGCCCUUGCUCUGAACAAGUCAGACAAAUAGACCUGCGAGGGUGUACUCUUUCCCCUCACACGGUGGCUCUAUUUAACUUGCUGUUUGACUUCUGUUUCAGUCUUGCCCUGCUGCCUUUGGCAUGUCGAUGUUGCUUUCUUUGUGACUGCCUUCAGCAGCCCAUGCGUGGGGCUGUGGGUUACCCAACUUGAAAGGUGUACAAAUCCUUUGCUUCUGAAAUCAGCCUCUCUGAGACUGUCUCUGUCUCGAUCCAUUAAAACCCCAUAAAGGAGGUCGGAUCCUGAGCAUUGCCCGGUGAGAGAAACAAAAAGGAAAAUGGACUUAAGUUUAAUACUAACUAACUCUUUGCAGGAUUCAUGGAGGGUGGGUUCUCGCAGGGCCCUGUAGUGGUUUCAGGAAUCCUCAGCGUUGUUCCAAGUCUCACUUUUGAAAUGGAGCUGGGAAAGGACCCUCACUGCUGGCCUGGGGCUCCCUUGUGCUUCAGGGGUUCUUGGAGGGUCCAUGGCUGGUGGGGGCUGGCAGAGAGGGGCACAGAAGAUGGAAACUUCUCUCUGGCUCUGCCUGCCCACAUGCUGAUGUGAUGAGGGCAGUGGCAACGGUAACAAGGUCUGGCACAUGGUAGAUCCUCAGCAAAACGACAGGUGGGUGAUGCCGUGGAUUGCGCAUGCGUGGGCAGAUUAAUGCUGCGGGUUGCGCGUGCGUGUGCAUGUGCGGGUUAAUUUGGUGGAUUGCGCAUGCGUAUAAAGGUUGAUGCCAUGGAUUGCGCGUGCGGGUUAACACGGUGGAUUGUGCGUGCGUGUACAGGUUGAUGCUGUGGAUUGUGCGUGCGUGUACAGGUUGAUGCCGUGGAUUGCGCGUGUGUGUGCAGGUUAAUUUAGUGGAUUGCGCAUGCGUAUAAAGGUUGAUGCCAUGGAUUGCGCGUGCGUGUACAGUUGAUGCUGUGGAUUGAGCGUGCAUGCGCAGGUUGAGAGCAGAGCUAGAGACAGGAGACAUGGGUUGUGGGGACUCUAGAAACUGAGAACAGCAGUGUCCGAGGUAGACACACUUUCAUGUCCCAAGAACAGCCAUGGGGCUCUCGGUACGGAGAUGACACAACGGAGCUUCUGGUCUUUGCUAGACAGAAAAUAAAGCAGCCAAAACUGGCUUUAGGAACCAGCUCAAUAAGGAAAUAAGCUGAAAGUUUCCCUCUUUGGUCACAAUGGAAUUUGAACUAGGUGUCUUCUUUCUUCAAAGUAAACUUGAUCCUACUUUGUGGUGUGUCUCUGCAGAAAUGUAGUAUGCUCUGCGGUUGACUUUUGUCCUUGAGAAAUUGAGGAGAUUUUCUCCAUUCCUUGUCACUGUGUCUAAACUCUGUUAGCUCAUGUGUGUAGAAGCUUCUAGGAAACUGGCUUCUGUUGACCUGCGUACAUUCAAGACCACCGUGUACUUUGUUAUUGAAAAGCCAUCAGUCAGUCAUGUGAGCGAGCGGACCUUUUUAUGGUUGAGAUUGUCCCCAGGGAAACCCUCCUCGCAAUUCAGACCUUCCACGGUGACGGAUUUCAAACUCUGACAUUCCCCAUUUCUACUUCCUUGUUCCCAUGGAGGCUGCAGUUCUCACUGUCUCUGCCUCGCCCCACUAGAAAAUGGUCAUACCUAAUUCCAAAAAUGACACACAGCACUUGACCAUGUGUAUAGAUAGCGACAGAGAAAAAUAUGCAAAGAGUUCAUGGCAAAAGGCAUUAAUUAUUAGGGAGUGAAAGAGAGGUUUUGCAUUGUGUGAAGGGACAUCUUUAGUGAGGGCCCACAAGCAUAGUAUCAGACUUCAGAGAGGAAAUUGGAAGAAAUACCAGAAGAAUUGAGAAACCCUUGGGGAACCUCAAACAUAGUCUCGAUCAUGGAGAUAAACCUCAAUUAGGCAACAAGGAGUUUGGAUACGAUGGUUAAUAAGAUCAUGGUAACAGAGGAGACUGAACUUUGUACUCUACAAAUGAUACACAUUUGAAAGUACUCUUGGAAUAUUUAGAAAAAUUAAUCAUCUGUUAAAUCUCAAAAAAAAAAAA
This is a long non-coding RNA of Mustela erminea (ermine), 2304 nucleotides long. RefSeq lists it as uncharacterized. Lineage: Eukaryota; Metazoa; Chordata; Mammalia; Carnivora; Mustelidae. The transcript is spliced from 2 exons. The record is from RefSeq and is a predicted model, not a curated record.